ACCGAGGGCCGUGACUGGCGCGCUGGGAUGGACAAACCAUCGGGGAGCGGCCCCCGGACCCGGCUGAACCCCGGGGACCGGAACCGUGCCGUGCGCCUGGGCCGUACCG
RNAcentral lists this non-coding RNA (109 nucleotides) under Streptomyces swartbergensis. RNAcentral's name for it is "ZTP sequence". It matches the Rfam family "ZMP/ZTP riboswitch aptamer (pfl RNA motif)". From Rfam's summary of the family: Previously known as pfl RNA. Lineage: Bacteria; Bacillati; Actinomycetota; Actinomycetes; Kitasatosporales; Streptomycetaceae. The record is from Rfam by way of RNAcentral.